GGGCCGCUAGCUCAUCAGGCAGAGCAAGGGCCUUUUAAGCCCUGGGUGCUGGGUUCGAGUCCCAGGUGGCCCA
Molecule: transfer RNA, 73 nt
Filed under: Omnitrophica WOR_2 bacterium GWF2_63_9
Lineage: Bacteria; Pseudomonadati; Candidatus Omnitrophota
Description: tRNA-Lys
Rfam family: tRNA
About the family: Transfer RNA (tRNA) molecules are approximately 80 nucleotides in length. Their secondary structure includes four short double-helical elements and three loops (D, anti-codon, and T loops). Further hydrogen bonds mediate the characteristic L-shaped molecular structure. tRNAs have two regions of fundamental functional importance: the anti-codon, which is responsible for specific mRNA codon recognition, and the 3' end, to which the tRNAs corresponding amino acid is attached (by aminoacyl-tRNA synthetases). tRNAs cope with the degeneracy of the genetic code in two manners: having more than one tRNA (with a specific anti-codon) for a particular amino acid; and 'wobble' base-pairing, i.e. permitting non-standard base-pairing at the 3rd anti-codon position.
Source: RNAcentral